AUCCUUCUCCAUUACAGAGCCAGUUGUCAGGUGCUGGGCAUCACUGUUGCGAACAAGGACAUGAACCUAAAAUUAACCCUCAUCCAGAAUGUCAUGGAGAUUAGCUGUGCCAUCUUGGAGACCAGAGACUCCCAAGAGUUCGAAUUCUCAUACAAACUGGAGCUCCUUGGCUACAUGUUGGUGAGUGAUUAGGAGCUUUGAGGACUGAAGUACAAGAGAGUUUGUUGUAAUGUAAUGAGACUGGUUUUCUGGGGAGAUGAUAUUUUAUCCAUUGGCUGUGACUGUACUACUGCAGU
Molecule: long non-coding RNA, 296 nt
Organism: Mauremys reevesii (Reeves's turtle)
Lineage: Eukaryota; Metazoa; Chordata; Testudines; Geoemydidae
Exons: 3
Source: RefSeq, a predicted model, not a curated record